RNAcentral lists this long non-coding RNA (594 nucleotides) under Macaca fascicularis (crab-eating macaque). RNAcentral's name for it is "lncRNA (ENSMFAG00000046834.2)". The record is from RNAcentral. Lineage: Eukaryota; Metazoa; Chordata; Mammalia; Primates; Cercopithecidae.
AUGCUCCUCUCUCAAGACUGGUAUACUUUCUCACUCUACUCCCUUUACAAAUGCCCUGAUCGAACUUUGCUGAUGAAAUUAUCUUUUCUUAGUUUCUUAGACUUUGGAUGGUGGAGACCUGUGCCUGCUACUUCUCUCAUCUCCCGAUACCUAAUGCAUAGUGUUCAGGCACCAAGGAAGAGAACCAAUGGCAGAAGUCACACGUGCAAGCAAGAUGGGAGUCUGGAGAGCCUCAGGCUAAAUCACCAGUGCUCAGCCCUCUUCUCUUUCCCCAGUAGGGGCCUUGCCUCUCCAGUGUACCCGGCUUUUGAAGGACCUUGUCUCCAUGUUUCCAUUGUUGAUGGAAGGACCGUGGCAGGACUUUGCUUUCCAGUGCCACUAUUAUGUCAGCAGGCUAGCCCUGAACCCCACAUGCAAAGAUCAAAUUCUGGGAGUUUACAUUUCUGAAACUUGGGUCAAGGUCCUGACCAAUCCUCAAAAGAGCAACUGUGUGGACAUCUGUGGCAAUGGUAAGAGUUCUUUAGUGGCCAGUCAGCUCUGUUGUUCUCUCCAGCUAAAUGAAGGCAAGUAAUAUGAAAAGUAGGUCCAAGCACA